RNAcentral lists this ribosomal RNA (440 nucleotides) under uncultured bacterium. RNAcentral's name for it is "partial 16S ribosomal RNA". It matches the Rfam family "Bacterial small subunit ribosomal RNA", at positions 338 to 795 of the family's 1533-position model. The record is from RNAcentral.
CCUACGGGGAGCUGCAGUGGGGAAUAUUGCACAAUGGGGGAAACCCUGAUGCAGCGACGCCGCGUGAGUGAUGAAGUAUUUCGGUAUGUAAAGCUCUAUCAGCAGGGAAGAUAAUGACGGUACCUGACUAAGAAGCUCCGGCUAAAUACGUGCCAGCAGCCGCGGUAAUACGUAUGGAGCAAGCGUUAUCCGGAUUUACUGGGUGUAAAGGGAGCGUAGACGGCAGCACAAGUCUGGAGUGAAAUGCCGGGGCUUAACCCCGGAACUGCUUUGGAAACUGUGCAGCUAGAGUGCAGGAGAGGUAAGUGGAAUUCCUAGUGUAGCGGUGAAAUGCGUAGAUAUUAGGAGGAACACCAGUGGCGAAGGCGGCUUACUGGACUGUAACUGACGUUGAGGCUCGAAAGCGUGGAGAGCAAACAGGAUUAGAUACCCUUGUAGUC